This 484-nucleotide ribosomal RNA is filed under the name uncultured bacterium. RNAcentral's name for it is "partial 16S ribosomal RNA". It matches the Rfam family "Bacterial small subunit ribosomal RNA", at positions 29 to 507 of the family's 1533-position model. The record is from RNAcentral.
AUUGAACGCUGGCGGGAUGCUUUACACAUGCAAGUCGAACGGCAGCGCGGACUUCGGUCUGGCGGCGAGUGGCGAACGGGUGAGUAAUGUAUCGGAACGUGCCCAGUAGCGGGGGAUAACUACGCGAAAGCGUAGCUAAUACCGCAUACGCCCUACGGGGGAAAGCAGGGGAUCGUAAGACCUUGCACUAUUGGAGCGGCCGAUAUCGGAUUAGCUAGUUGGUGGGGUAACGGCUCACCAAGGCGACGAUCCGUAGCUGGUUUGAGAGGACGACCAGCCACACUGGGACUGAGACACGGCCCAGACUCCUACGGGAGGCAGCAGUGGGGAAUUUUGGACAAUGGGGGCAACCCUGAUCCAGCCAUCCCGCGUGUGCGAUGAAGGCCUUCGGGUUGUAAAGCACUUUUGGCAGGAGAGAAACGGCGCGGGCUAAUACCCCGUGGAACUGACGGUACCUGCAGAAUAAGCACCGGCUAACUACGUG